AUGAAUUAUAGGUCAGACUGUAUUUUCUUCACUAAGGAUACCACAGGUGCCAUUUCUUCACGAAACUGGCUGGUCUUCGAUGAUUUCAACCAAAUAUAUCGGGCUAGGGACAAGAAUAAAGCAAAUGUGGAUCAAGGUCGCAUUGUGCGCUUCCGGAAUGCACUCAAUGCCUGUGAGCUGAAGGAGAUUCAUCUCCAAAAUGGAAAUUUUACAUGGAGCAAUGAGCGCGCUAACCCAACUUCGAGCAAGCUUGACAACUUUUUUUGCAAUGUUUCUGAUAUCGAAUUUGGCACCCACAUCCUACACGCCCUCCCUUCAUCCAUUUCUAACCACAGCCCACUUCUCCUUGCGAAUGAUAAGAGGUCGUCGAGGACAUAGUUUUUCCGCUUUGAGAACUUUUGGAUCAAGAUGCCCGGCUUCAAGGAAGUGGUUCAGAAGGCUUGGAAUGAAGGGAUGCAACAUACCGAUCCUUACCAUGCCCUUUUUCAUAAGCUCAAAAUAACAAGUUAGAAGCUUAGAAAGUGGAGCAAGACGAUAUUUGCCCAUUCGAAAGUGCAAAUUCACAUGGUCCUCGAGAUUAUCCUAUGGUUGGAUGCAGCUCAAGGGCAUAGGACCUUGAGUGUCGACGAGCGUGACAUUAGAAGAAGGCUAAAGCGGAAAGUGGUUGGAUUGAUUGUGCUUGAAAAGGCAUGCAAAAAACAGAGCUCUAGAAUCACCAAUCUCAAGGAGGGGGAUGCUCACACUCAGUUUUUUCAUCUCCGGGUCAACCAUAGAAGGAGGUAA
This 783-nucleotide ribosomal RNA is filed under the name Triticum aestivum (bread wheat). RNAcentral's name for it is "partial small subunit ribosomal RNA". The record is from RNAcentral. Lineage: Eukaryota; Viridiplantae; Streptophyta; Magnoliopsida; Poales; Poaceae.